Molecule: long non-coding RNA, 665 nt
Organism: Prionailurus viverrinus (fishing cat)
Lineage: Eukaryota; Metazoa; Chordata; Mammalia; Carnivora; Felidae
Exons: 4
Source: RefSeq, a predicted model, not a curated record
GGAGCCUCCUUUCUCAUUCAAUGGUCAUGUUCCAUUAAUAUGAGCUUAGAUGAACUAAGGAUGUUGUUGAUAUAAGAAAAUCAAACACAGAGACGUAAAAUGUUAAGUGUUUGCUGUGGGGCAUUGUGGGUCUUGCCCCAGAUCCUGAUUUCCUGAUCACUCCAGAACUGAUGCCCUACCCAAUAAUACUGAUUGUGUACAUAGCUGAAAUGAUUCAGCUUAUCAGUGAUUCUAUGUGCCCAGGGACUAAGAAACUGAAGAACUGAAGGAUACUCCCAGGAUACCACAGCCCACAGCUGCCUCCGGGGACCAGAAUACAAGACUAGAGCAGCACUGUUGCGAGUUCUGGGCAGAUCCAGCUUUCCCCUCAGGAGUUGUAAAUUCCUAAAUCAAGUGCCUCUGUGUUCUGGUCACAAUGUGGUAAUAGGAAGUAGCCAGACUCCACCUCUGCCAAGCUGUCCCCUCACUCCUGCACUUGUAUCAAGUACAUCAUCAUGGAGCAUGGGAAGUGGCUUUCCAAUCAUCCUCUAUGGGCUAGACAACACAACCUGGAAGUUCAACUGGGUCAACUCUCUCUGUAACCUUGACCAAAGAGAAUCAGAAAUGGAAGGAAACUGGACAUAUACAUACAGUCUUUUGUCCUCAAUUUUAACUGCUUCAAAAUG